GAGCCUUGAUGUGUAGGAUAGGUGGGAGGCUUUGAAGUGUGGACGCCAGUCUGCAUGGAGCCGACCUUGAAAUACCACCCUUUAAUGUUUGAUGUUCUAACGUUGGCCCCUAAUCGGGGUUGCGGACAGUGUCUGGUGGGUAGUUUGACUGGGGCGGUCUCCUCCUAAAGAGUAACGGAGGAGCACGAAGGUUGGCUAAUCCUGGUCGGACAUCAGGAGGUUAGUGCAAUGGCAUAAGCCAGCUUGACUGCGAGCGUGACGGCGCGAGCAGGUGCGAAAGCAGGUCAUAGUGAUCCGGUGGUUCUGAAUGGAAGGGCCAUCGCUCAACGGAUAAAAGGUACUCCGGGGAUAACAGGCUGAUACCGCCCAAGAGUUCAUAUCGACGGCGGUGUUUGGCACCUCGAUGUCGGCUCAUCACAUCCUGGGGCUGAAGUAGGUCCCAAGGGUAUGGCUGUUCGCCAUUUAAAGUGGUACGCGAGCUGGGUUUAGAACGUCGUGAGACAGUUCGGUCCCUAUCUGCCGUGGGCGCUGGAGAACUGAGGGGGGCUGCUCCUAGUACGAGAGGACCGGAGUGGACGCAUCACUGGUGUUCGGGUUGUCAUGCCAAUGGCACUGCCCGGUAGCUAAAUGCGGAAGAGAUAAGUGCUGAAAGCAUCUAAGCACGAAACUUGCCCCGAGAUGAGUUCUCCCUGACUCCCUGAGAGUCCUGAAGGAACGUUGAAGACGACGACGUUGAUAGGCCGGGUGUGUAAGCGCAGCGAUGCGUUGAGCUAACCGGUACUAAUGAACCGUGAG
RNAcentral lists this ribosomal RNA (795 nucleotides) under Escherichia coli. RNAcentral describes it as "partial 23S ribosomal RNA". It matches the Rfam family "Bacterial large subunit ribosomal RNA", at positions 2126 to 2915 of the family's 2925-position model. Lineage: Bacteria; Pseudomonadati; Pseudomonadota; Gammaproteobacteria; Enterobacterales; Enterobacteriaceae. The record is from RNAcentral.